AAUCAUUUGCCCUAUAAUUGAGGGCUAGUAUGAAUGGUUUGACAUGAGCAUAGCUGUCUCCUUAAAAUUUUAUAAAAUUUGGUUUUUAGGUGAAGAAACCUAAAUUAAAUUGAAAGACAAGAAGACCCUAUCGAGCUUUAGAAUAAUUAAUUAAAAAAUAUAAAUAAAACAAUUAAUUUUAAUUAAAAACUUUGGUUGGGGCGACUGAGGAACAUAUAAAGCUUCCUUAAUUAGACAAUGCUGAUAAGCAAUGAUCCAGGAAAUCUGAUUAAAAAAAUUAGUUACCGUAGGGAUAACAGCAUAAUCUUUUUUGAGAGCUCUUAUCGAAAAAAAGGUUUGU
This 340-nucleotide ribosomal RNA is filed under the name Oncomelania hupensis hupensis. RNAcentral's name for it is "partial large subunit ribosomal RNA". Lineage: Eukaryota; Metazoa; Mollusca; Gastropoda; Littorinimorpha; Pomatiopsidae. The record is from RNAcentral.